GACUUUGAAAAGAGAGUCAAA
Molecule: small nuclear RNA, 21 nt
Filed under: Arabidopsis thaliana (thale cress)
Lineage: Eukaryota; Viridiplantae; Streptophyta; Magnoliopsida; Brassicales; Brassicaceae
Description: snRNA_05302
Source: RNAcentral